AUACAGAAGUAUUUACCCAAAAAUAUUGUUUUUUGUUAUUUUUGAAAAAUGAAUAUAUGCUCAAGGAUAUAAUCAAAACAGACUGAAAGGAUUAUAAACAGAAUUUGUACAGCUUGUGUUUUACUUUAUAUAAAGUGACACUAACAAGAAAAUAUGAGCUUUUAACAUGUAUGAAUGCGGGACGAAAAAUAUUCAGAAGAAUGAUGAGGUCACUACAAGCUCUACCCCCUCCAGAUCUGCUGCUGUAUAAAGGACCUAUCACUGAAAAUCGGCGUUCAUUCCUCAAACAGCUUCACAACAAGAUGGAGCUUCAUACACUUGAAGCAAUUGUUGCUCUUGGUGCAAAGUAAAACCCUUGUCCCACAUAUGUGUACAGCUCUUUUGUUCUCCAGACAGCUUCAGUUAAACUGGGAAUCCCUCGGGACCUCAACACACACUUUGCUCUCUUUGUUGUUUUGCCACAGAAAAUUGGUGUUUGCCAUUUCUAAUUCUGUCCAAUCAAUCAAAUUGACUACAGAUGGAUUUCAAACAAGGUGUGAAAACACCUCAAGAAUGAUCAACAGAAUGGGUUUACCUAAGCAGGAUUUCAACUGUCGUAGCAAAGGGAAUGAGUAGUUGUGUCAAUGUGAUAUUUCAGUUUUUUAUU
Molecule: long non-coding RNA, 646 nt
Organism: Polypterus senegalus (gray bichir)
Lineage: Eukaryota; Metazoa; Chordata; Cladistia; Polypteriformes; Polypteridae
Exons: 2
Source: RefSeq, a predicted model, not a curated record